This 102-nucleotide microRNA precursor is filed under the name Marmota monax (woodchuck). The record is from RNAcentral. Lineage: Eukaryota; Metazoa; Chordata; Mammalia; Rodentia; Sciuridae.
AGUGGGAUAACUGGGUCAAAUGGUUGUCCAUUCCCAGUUUUCUGAGGAAUCUCCAUACUGCUUUCCAUAGUGGUUGCACCAAUUUGCAGUCCCACCAGCAAU